RNAcentral lists this ribosomal RNA (460 nucleotides) under uncultured bacterium. Its description in RNAcentral is "bacterial SSU rRNA". It matches the Rfam family "Bacterial small subunit ribosomal RNA", at positions 29 to 506 of the family's 1533-position model. The record is from RNAcentral.
AUGAACGCUGGCGGCGUGCUUAAUACAUGCAAGUCGAACGUGAGGCUGGAUUUCGGUUCAGCUGAAAGUGGCGGACGGGUGAGUAACACGUGGCUGACCUACCCUGUAGUGGGGGAUAACCUGCCGAAAGGCGGGCUAAUACCGCAUAGACUCUGAGGGUUUAGAAACUUUAGAGGAAAGCUUUAGUGCUACAGGCAGGGGCUGCGGCCCAUCAGCUAGUUGGUAGGGUAACGGCCUACCAAGGCGGUGACGGGUAGGGGACCUGAGAGGGUGGCCCCCCACACUGGGACUGAGACACGGCCCAGACUCCUACGGGAGGCAGCAGUAAGGAAUAUUGGUCAAUGGGCGCAAGCCUGAACCAGCAACGCCGCGUGGAGGAAGAAGGGUUUCGGCUCGUAAACUCCUUUUAGGUGGGACGAGACAGGACGGUACCACUUGAAUAAGUCUCGGCUAACUACGU